CGUUUCGUUGGUUGUUGAAUGGCAUGACUCACCGUAGGUGGAAUUGGACGGCGUGAAUUGUAAUUUAAUUUAUUUUAAUUUGAAAACGUGAAAGCUGAAGUGGUGUACGGUUGGGGAGAAAGGCCGUGGUGGCAUGGUGGUGGUGACAAGAUGAAGCUUCGUGGAACCUUCCAAUUGUGAUCAGAGAAAUGGACAAAAACCUACCUUGGCCUUCAAACAUGUCUAGGUUAGAAAUAAUGGUUAAUACAACCACUCUCAUUCUUUCGAACGUCGUCGUAAGUGGAUGGUGGUGGCUACUUUGCAAUGUCAAGUGCGUGUUUUGGCUUUAUGGAUGCUGUUCUCUACUUCUUCUCCUUAACAACUAAACCAGUACGCAAUGCACCAGUUGUGUUAAGCUCUGCAAAACACAAUCCAUAACAAAACUUAG
This 427-nucleotide long non-coding RNA is filed under the name Phaseolus vulgaris (common bean). RNAcentral's name for it is "long non-coding RNA (PVUL_LNC005212)". Lineage: Eukaryota; Viridiplantae; Streptophyta; Magnoliopsida; Fabales; Fabaceae. The record is from RNAcentral.